RNAcentral lists this ribosomal RNA (539 nucleotides) under uncultured bacterium. Its description in RNAcentral is "partial 16S ribosomal RNA". It matches the Rfam family "Bacterial small subunit ribosomal RNA", at positions 355 to 887 of the family's 1533-position model. The record is from RNAcentral.
UGGGGAAUUUUGGACAAUGGGGGCAACCCCGAUCCAGCAAUGCCGCGUGUGUGAAGAAGGCCUUCGGGUUGUAAAGCACUUUUGUCCGGAAAGAAAACGUCGUGGUUAAUACCCGUGGCGGCUGACGGUACCGGAAGAAUAAGCACCGGCUAACUACGUGCCAGCAGCCGCGGUAAUACGUAGGGUGCAAGCGUUAAUCGGAAUUACUGGGCGUAAAGCGUGCGCAGGCGGUCCGCUAAGACAGAUGUGAAAUCCCCGGGCUUAACCUGGGAACUGCAUUUGUGACUGGCGGGCUAGAGUAUGGCAGAGGGGGGUAGAAUUCCACGUGUAGCAGUGAAAUGCGUAGAGAUGUGGAGGAAUACCGAUGGCGAAGGCAGCCCCCUGGGCCAAUACUGACGCUCAUGCACGAAAGCGUGGGGAGCAAACAGGAUUAGAUACCCUGGUAGUCCACGCCCUAAACGAUGUCAACUAGUUGUCGGGUCUUCAUUGACUUGGUAACGUAGCUAACGCGUGAAGUUGACCGCCUGGGGAGUACGGUC